RNAcentral lists this ribosomal RNA (303 nucleotides) under uncultured Sphingomonas sp. Its description in RNAcentral is "bacterial SSU rRNA". It matches the Rfam family "Bacterial small subunit ribosomal RNA", at positions 108 to 428 of the family's 1533-position model. The record is from RNAcentral. Lineage: Bacteria; Pseudomonadati; Pseudomonadota; Alphaproteobacteria; Sphingomonadales; Sphingomonadaceae.
GCGUAACGCGUGGGAAUCUGCCCUCUGGUACGGAAUAACUCAGGGAAACUUGAGCUAAUACCGUAUAAUGACUUCGGUCCAAAGAUUUAUCGCCUGAGGAUGAGCCCGCGUCGGAUUAGCUAGUUGGUGAGGUAAAAGCUCACCAAGGCGACGAUCCGUAGCUGGUCUGAGAGGAUGAUCAGCCACACUGGGACCGAGACACGGCCCAGACUCCUACGGGAGGCAGCAGUGGGGAAUAUUGGACAAUGGGCGAAAGCCUGAUCCAGCAAUGCCGCGUGAGUGAUGAAGGCCUUAGGGUUGUAA